RNAcentral lists this ribosomal RNA (404 nucleotides) under Saprospiraceae bacterium. Its description in RNAcentral is "partial 23S ribosomal RNA". It matches the Rfam family "Bacterial large subunit ribosomal RNA", at positions 2525 to 2925 of the family's 2925-position model. Lineage: Bacteria; Pseudomonadati; Bacteroidota; Saprospiria; Saprospirales; Saprospiraceae. The record is from RNAcentral.
CUCGAUGUCGGCUCGUCACAUCCUGGGGCUGGAGAAGGUCCCAAGGGUUGGGCUGUUCGCCCAUUAAAGUGGCACGCGAGCUGGGUUCAGAACGUCGCAAGACAGUUCGGUCCCUAUCUGUUGUGGGCGCAGGAAUAUUGAAGAGGCCUGACACUAGUACGAGAGGACCGUGUUGGACGAACCGCUAGUGUACCAGUUGUGUCGCCAGAUGCACCGCUGGGUAGCUACGUUCGGAACGGAUAAGCGCUGAAAGCAUCUAAGCGCGAAGCCAUCUCUAAGAUGAGUAUUCCUAUCUUACUUCGGUAAGAGGAGGGACGUAGAAGACGACUACGUUGAUAGGCUACAGGUGUAAUCCUCGUGAGGGGUUUAGCCGAGUAGUACUAAUGACCCGAAAGCUUCCUUAA